AUCGCCUGGGCAUCUUGUUGGAAAGCAGAUCUUGUUUCAAUAGAUCUAGAGUGGAGCCCAAGUUCUGCCUUUUCAACAAGUUCCCGGGUGAUGCCAA
Molecule: microRNA precursor, 97 nt
Organism: Homo sapiens (human)
Lineage: Eukaryota; Metazoa; Chordata; Mammalia; Primates; Hominidae
Rfam family: mir-544 microRNA precursor family
Source: Rfam